This 460-nucleotide ribosomal RNA is filed under the name uncultured bacterium. RNAcentral describes it as "partial 16S ribosomal RNA". It matches the Rfam family "Bacterial small subunit ribosomal RNA", at positions 338 to 795 of the family's 1533-position model. The record is from RNAcentral.
CCUACGGGAGGCAGCAGUGAGGAAUAUUGGUCAAUGGGCGAGAGCCUGAACCAGCCAAGUCGCGUGAAGGAUGACGGCCCUACGGGUUGUAAACUUCUUUUGUCAGGGAGCAAUUGGGUCCACGCGUGGGCUUAGCGAGAGUACCUGAAGAAAAAGCAUCGGCUAACUCCGUGCCAGCAGCCGCGGUAAUACGGAGGAUGCGAGCGUUAUCCGGAUUUAUUGGGUUUAAAGGGUGCGUAGGCGGAAUAUCAAGUCAGCGGUAAAAAUUCGGGACUCAACCCCGUCGUGCCGUUGAAACUGAGGUUCUUGAGGGGGCGAGAAGUAUGCGGAAUGCGUGGGGUAGCGGUGAAAUGCAUAGAUAUCACGCAGAACUCCGAUUGCGAAGGCAGAAUACCGGCGCCCAACUGACGCUGAAGCACGAAAGCGUGGGUAUCGAACAGGAUUAGAUACCCUUGUAGUC